This 98-nucleotide transfer RNA is filed under the name Naumovozyma dairenensis CBS 421. It matches the Rfam family "tRNA". From Rfam's summary of the family: Transfer RNA (tRNA) molecules are approximately 80 nucleotides in length. Their secondary structure includes four short double-helical elements and three loops (D, anti-codon, and T loops). Further hydrogen bonds mediate the characteristic L-shaped molecular structure. tRNAs have two regions of fundamental functional importance: the anti-codon, which is responsible for specific mRNA codon recognition, and the 3' end, to which the tRNAs corresponding amino acid is attached (by aminoacyl-tRNA synthetases). tRNAs cope with the degeneracy of the genetic code in two manners: having more than one tRNA (with a specific anti-codon) for a particular amino acid; and 'wobble' base-pairing, i.e. permitting non-standard base-pairing at the 3rd anti-codon position. The record is from Rfam by way of RNAcentral. Lineage: Eukaryota; Fungi; Ascomycota; Saccharomycetes; Saccharomycetales; Saccharomycetaceae.
UCCUUGUUAGCUCAGUUGGUAGAGCGUUCGGCUUUUAAACAAUUACGGUUUAAACCAAGGAUACCGAAAUGUCAGGGGUUCGAGCCCCCUAUGAGGAG